GUAGGUGAACCUGCGGAAGGAUCAUUACUGAAUUGUCAAACGGGUUGUUGCUGGCCCUCAUAGGGGGCAUGUGCACGCUCUGUUUACACAUCCACUCACACCUGUGCACCCUCUGUAGUUCUAUGGUCUGGGGGACCCUGUCUUCCUUCUGUGGUUCUACGUCUCUACACACACACUGUAAUAAAGUUUUAUGGAAUGUACAUCGCGUCUAACGCAAUACAAUACAACUUUCAGCAACGGAUCUCUUGGC
RNAcentral lists this unclassified non-coding RNA (250 nucleotides) under plant metagenome. Its description in RNAcentral is "partial contains small subunit ribosomal RNA, internal transcribed spacer 1, and 5.8S ribosomal RNA". The record is from RNAcentral.